AGUGAACGCUGGCGGUAGACCUAACACAUGCAAGUCGAACGGCAGCACAGUAAGAGCUUGCUCUUACGGGUGGCGAGUGGCGGACGGGUGAGGAAUACAUCGGAAUCUACUUUUUCGUGGGGUAUAACGUAGGGAAACUUACGCUAAUACCGCAUACGACCUACGGGUGAAAGCAGGGGAUCUUCGGACCUUGCGCGAUUGAAUGAGCCGAUGUCGGAUUAGCUAGUUGGCGGGGUAAAGGCCCACCAAGGCGACGAUCCGUAGCUGGUCUGAGAGGAUGAUCAGCCACACUGGAACUGAGACAAGGUCCAGACUCAUACGGGAGGCAGAAGUAGGGAAUAUUGGACAAUGGGCGCAAGACUGAUCCAACCAUACCGCGUGGGUGAAGAAGGCCUUCGGGUUGUAAAGCCCUUUUGUUGGGAAAGAAAAGCAGAAGGUUAAUACCCCGCUGUUCUGACGGUACCCAAAGAAUAAGCACCGGCUAACUUCGUG
RNAcentral lists this ribosomal RNA (492 nucleotides) under uncultured bacterium. RNAcentral's name for it is "partial 16S ribosomal RNA". It matches the Rfam family "Bacterial small subunit ribosomal RNA", at positions 29 to 507 of the family's 1533-position model. The record is from RNAcentral.